Acanthaster planci (crown-of-thorns starfish) is the source of this 554-nucleotide long non-coding RNA. Lineage: Eukaryota; Metazoa; Echinodermata; Asteroidea; Valvatida; Acanthasteridae. The record is from RefSeq and is a predicted model, not a curated record.
AACAAAACUAAGUUGUAUCUGGAGUCAGCUCGUCUGCCGGACUGUGAAAGAAACACACAAUGGGGACGCUUCUUCCACUGCGCACAGGAUGUUGCGUUGUCAGAACAAGACAUGUUGGAAUGCUAGUCGCCAUCCUAGUAUUCGGGUUCUUACUCAGGUGCCUCUUCGCACCACACAGUAAGUUGGAUGAAUCCCUCAUGGUCAGGACAAGACGGAACGCUUCAGAUCCAGUGACACCCUGUUCAGUUCCCGGAGUUGUGAGAAAUUUCCGGAUUACAGGCUCAGGAACCUCAUGGCGAUUUAGAUGGAGCGCACUUCAUUCCAGUUCAGUUUGCCCAAUCAUCGGUUACUCGCUGCAAUUCCGACUAAUUAACAGGGACCAGUGUAGGACUGUUGGCGAGAGCUUCGAAACCUUGCGCCAAACGACGAACACCAAUUAUCGACUGAGUCAAGCAGAAUCGUCCCUUUACUUUUUCUCCACUUACGAAGUUCAAGUGCGGGGGAGGAACUCGGCGGGGCUUGGAGUACCAAGCACCCAAAUUCAGGUCACAACA